AUUUUGGAUUAAAGAUGCAUUUAACAAUAAGGUGUUUUUGAUAAAGGGACCGACUUGUUUUUGCUGUACUAGUGGACUCAAAUUUAAAAUAUUGUCGGCUGGUGACGGUACACAGGAUUUGGAUGUACAAAUGAAAGCUGUAAUGUUAGGAGCCAGCUUUUUAAUUUUUGCUGUCUUCUUCAACGUAAGCAUAGAUCAGUUAUACCAAUAUUACUAUCCUGACCCGUUUGUUUACGUUUAAUAAUAAAUGCAUAUUUAUUUUUUGUUCAA
Tribolium castaneum (red flour beetle) is the source of this 270-nucleotide long non-coding RNA. RefSeq lists it as uncharacterized. Lineage: Eukaryota; Metazoa; Arthropoda; Insecta; Coleoptera; Tenebrionidae. The record is from RefSeq and is a predicted model, not a curated record. The transcript is spliced from 2 exons.